UACUAUAUGGCACUGCGCAUUUUCUCCUUUUGUAGGAGAUGGAGGGAGAUGAUGUUGAUCCAGAUGAUCAAUUAUUCUACGAGGAAUUAUCUGAAGCAGAAAUCAGAAAAUAGUUGCAUUCAUUUUCAUUUCAAUCUAAUAAUUCCAAGACCCUUAUUGAUCGAUGUGUGGUGUGUCAAAUGGAAUAUGAAGAAGGAGAGAAGUUAGUCGCACUUCCAUGUGACAUUCCUUCCAUUCAGAUUGUAUAAAUAAAUGGCUUCAGAUAAAGAAGAUUUGCCCCAUAUGUUGUGAUGAGGUCUCAUCCACCAAAUUCCUCAGGAAUGAUUAGCUCUAAACUUGUAUCAAACCAAAUUCUUGUACACCAAUCAAGAUUUAUUGAAUAUAUUCCAAGGGAAAUAAGGAACUUUAUAUAUCCA
Nicotiana tabacum (common tobacco) is the source of this 416-nucleotide long non-coding RNA. RefSeq lists it as uncharacterized. The record is from RefSeq and is a predicted model, not a curated record. Lineage: Eukaryota; Viridiplantae; Streptophyta; Magnoliopsida; Solanales; Solanaceae.